GAUUUAAGGUCCUUGGUUUGUGACCUUGAAAUUGAGGUCAAGGUCAUAGGUUAAAAGGACGUUCUAGAUUUUGACCUUUGCUUUAAAUUCAUAUAAAUACAUCAUAAAGUCAUAGGAACUAACAUUUUUAAACUGAUUUUUCAUAUUUCAAUAUCAAAAUAGAUCUUUACUAGUGGAAAGACCUUCAAUUGUUCUCUGAACAAUUGGUUUUUAAUUAUUAUUAUUUUUUUUUUUUUUUUCCGCCUAAUUUUUUCUUGCGUAGUAUUGAUGUUUCAAAAGAUGUCGCUUAGAUAUUUGGAAUAUGAUAUCAUAUAGUUUAUACGCUUUAAAAAUUUACAACCGCGUAACAAAAUACUUUACGUUGUAAGAGUUAUCUCCCCAAACACUGUUUUUCUUGUGGCCACUACUCCUUCGCAACCGUAAAAGAUUACGACAAAUUUAUUUUACCAAAUUGCUCGUUACAUCUUCAGGAUUAGGAUUUUAGUUUUGACCGAAGCUAUCCAGAGACUCCAUAUGAGAGUUAUUCCCCCUUAUGUAUUUGAUAUAGGUGAUAUGCGUUUCUAACUUGGUAAAACCAUAAGUGAUAGAGACCUAGGGUCUCUUGAUUUGAGAUCCUUGGUCCAAAAAAAUGAAAAAAAGGUCAAGGUCAAAGGUCAUAUCAUAUUCUAAAAUUUGAUUUUGGCUAAUUUUCACUUAUUUUCAAAUACCAUAAGACAUAUCGACAAAUAUUUUUUCCUAAAUUGUUAGUUGCGACAUGUCCUUACUUGUAUAUUUUGGUUGAAAGGGUG
RNAcentral lists this long non-coding RNA (788 nucleotides) under Mytilus galloprovincialis (Mediterranean mussel). Lineage: Eukaryota; Metazoa; Mollusca; Bivalvia; Mytilida; Mytilidae. The record is from RNAcentral.